This 460-nucleotide ribosomal RNA is filed under the name uncultured bacterium. RNAcentral's name for it is "partial 16S ribosomal RNA". It matches the Rfam family "Bacterial small subunit ribosomal RNA", at positions 338 to 795 of the family's 1533-position model. The record is from RNAcentral.
CCUACGGGUGGCAGCAGUGAGGAAUAUUGGUCAAUGGGCGGGAGCCUGAACCAGCCAAGUCGCGUGAGGGAAGACGGUCCUACGGAUUGUAAACCUCUUUUGCCGGGGAGCAACGCGGUCCUUGCGAGGGCCCGAUGAGAGUACCCGGAGAAAAAGCAUCGGCUAACUCCGUGUCAGCAGCCGCGAUAAUACGGAGGAUGCGAGCGUUAUCCGGAUUUAUUGGGUUUAAAGGGUGCGUAGGCGGGCUGUUAAGUCAGCGGUAAAAUGUCGGGGCUCAACCCCGGCCGGCCGUUGAAACUGGCGGCCUUGAGUGGGCGAGAAGUAUGCGGAAUGCGUGGUGUAGCGGUGAAAUGCAUAGAUAUCACGCAGAACUCCGAUUGCGAAGGCAGCAUACCGGCGCCCGACUGACGCUGAGGCACGAAAGCGUGGGUAUCGAACAGGAUUAGAUACCCGUGUAGUC